This 433-nucleotide unclassified non-coding RNA is filed under the name soil metagenome. Its description in RNAcentral is "partial contains 5.8S ribosomal RNA, internal transcribed spacer 2, and large subunit ribosomal RNA". The stretch from base 1 to 120 matches the Rfam family "5.8S ribosomal RNA", at positions 35 to 154 of the family's 154-position model. The record is from RNAcentral.
GAUGAAGAACGCAGCGAAAUGCGAUACGUAAUGUGAAUUGCAGAAUUCAGUGAAUCAUCGAAUCUUUGAACGCAUAUUGCGCUCUCUGGUAUUCCGGAGAGCAUGCUUGUUUGAGUAUCAGUAAACACCUCAACUCCCUUUUCUUUUUUGAAAUGGGAGCUGGACUUGAGUGAUCCCAACACUUUUCUCACUGGAAAGUGGCGGGUCACUUGAAAUGCAGGUGCAGCUGGACUUUUCUCUGAGCUAUAAGCAUAUCUAUUUAGUCUGCCUAAAAAACAGAUUAUUACCUUUGCUGCAGCUAACAUAAAGGAGAUGAGUUCUUGUGCUGACUGAUGCAGGAUUCACAGAGACAGCUUUGCGGCUGACUUUGUAAACUCGAUCUCGAAUCAAGUAAGACUACCCGCUGAACUUAAGCAUAUCAAUAAGCGGAGGA